RNAcentral lists this unclassified non-coding RNA (300 nucleotides) under uncultured fungus. RNAcentral describes it as "sequence contains 5.8S rRNA gene, ITS2". The stretch from base 1 to 71 matches the Rfam family "5.8S ribosomal RNA", at positions 84 to 154 of the family's 154-position model. The record is from RNAcentral. Lineage: Eukaryota; Fungi.
GUGAAUCAUCGAAUCUUUGAACGCAUAUUGCGCUCGAGGCCUCGGCCGAGAGCAUGUUUGCUUCAGCGUCGGGUUAAUACUCGCUCCAUCCACCCCUGGGUGAAUAAGAGCGGAUCUGGUUGUCCCAGAAGGUGCGUGCAACGUCGCAAGGCUGUGCAUGCAUACAAACCGUCUGGGUCAGCUGAAGUGCAGAGGUUAAUGUACGGACCCGUCAUGGGCCGCAGCUGGGUAGGCAGCCUCGUUGCUUGCUAAAUGCUAGCUGUUGGCUUGGUGUCUUACAUUCGACCCUUAACCAGGAAA